This 959-nucleotide ribosomal RNA is filed under the name uncultured Neocallimastigales. Its description in RNAcentral is "partial large subunit ribosomal RNA". The stretch from base 164 to 959 matches the Rfam family "Eukaryotic large subunit ribosomal RNA", at positions 1 to 635 of the family's 3401-position model. The record is from RNAcentral. Lineage: Eukaryota; Fungi; Neocallimastigomycota; Neocallimastigomycetes; Neocallimastigales.
GUACACGCUGUGACUAGCAUAUCAAUAAGCGGAGGAAAAGUAAAUGCUGUAUACCUACGCUUAGGAUGUUGACACACGCGCGUGCUCGGCUCUAUACAUGACUCUGUGCAUAUCAAUAAGCGGAGGAAAAGGAUGGGAACGACGUACCUACGCUUAGGAUGUUGACACACAGCGCGUGCUCGACUCUAUACAUGACUCUGCGCAUAUCAAUAAGCGGAGGAAAAGAAACUAACAAGGAUUCCCCUAGUAACGGCGAGUGAAGCGGGAAGAGCUCAAAUUUGAAAUCUUAAAGGGUUUCCCUUUACGGAUUGUAGUUUAAAGAAGUGUUUUCUGUUGAGGUUUUGGUAAAAGUUCUUUGGAAUAGGACAUCAUAGAGGGUGAGAAUCCCGUAUUUGACCUUUACUUUCAACUUUGUGAUACACUUUCAAAGAGUCGGAUUGUUUGGGAAUGCAGUCCAAAAUGGGUGGUAAAUUUCAUCUAAAGCUAAAUAUUGGCGAGAGACCGAUAGCGAACAAGUACCGUGAGGGAAAGAUGAAAGGAACUUUGAAAAGAGAGUUAAACAGUACGUGAAAUUGUCAAAAGGGAAGCGUUUGACACCAGUGUUGUUUUUCUGAAAAUCAAUUAAAGAACUGUUUAUGCUAAGCUGUUUAGACUUUAUCAGCUAUCUGUUUAGUUUUGAGCUUUUCUUUAACGCACUUUUCAGUUAACAAGUCAACAUCAAUUUCUUUUGCUGUAAAAAGGCUUGAGGAAGGUGGCUUGAGAUUCGUCUUAAGUGUUUAUAGCCUCUUGCCUAUGCAGUCGGAGAGAUUGAGGUCUGCAGCGUAGAUCCUUCGGGGCUAAAUGCAUUUGUGCUAAGUUAUAGCAUUUUAUAGACAACUUGUUGACUAUGAUUUGUCUUGUAGCUUACUCGCUUAUGUUAUUUUACCUACGCUUAGGAUGUUGAUCUACAGAGCGAGAGU